GAGCCCGUGGCUCAAUGGUAGAGCGUUCGUCUCAAAUACCAAAGGUCGCGGGUUCG
Molecule: transfer RNA, 56 nt
Filed under: Schistocephalus solidus
Lineage: Eukaryota; Metazoa; Platyhelminthes; Cestoda; Diphyllobothriidea; Diphyllobothriidae
Rfam family: tRNA
About the family: Transfer RNA (tRNA) molecules are approximately 80 nucleotides in length. Their secondary structure includes four short double-helical elements and three loops (D, anti-codon, and T loops). Further hydrogen bonds mediate the characteristic L-shaped molecular structure. tRNAs have two regions of fundamental functional importance: the anti-codon, which is responsible for specific mRNA codon recognition, and the 3' end, to which the tRNAs corresponding amino acid is attached (by aminoacyl-tRNA synthetases). tRNAs cope with the degeneracy of the genetic code in two manners: having more than one tRNA (with a specific anti-codon) for a particular amino acid; and 'wobble' base-pairing, i.e. permitting non-standard base-pairing at the 3rd anti-codon position.
Source: Rfam by way of RNAcentral